ACACCUGGAAACUCCAGCAAGGGCGGGUCACCGUGGCCAGGGUUACCUCCAGCACAGUGCCCGGCCUGCCUCCCAGCCAGCUCAUCCCGCCCCCUGCGCUCCUGCCUGUGGGGCUGUUUGAAGUGUCCAUGGCUGCAGCUCACUUCGAGACCCCCUUCCCUCCUCCAAGAACAGCAACUGCAGCCUACCUGCCUGGCGGCGCUUGGCUGGAUCAUCCCUGGAGGUGUGACGUCACCCAGAGCAGGUAGCCUGAGCUGGGGCUGGAGAGACCAGGCCCGAGGUAUCAGCAGGCGCUGCACCUGUGCUCAUUUCUCCAUCCUUUCUCUACCAAGGCGGGUGCUUCUCCCAUCAGGUCCUUCUGCCUCCCUUUGUGAUCAGACAUGCAAGAGCCCUGGAGGCCUGAUCUGAAGCCCAGGUGUGCCCGCCUGUGGAAAGUUCCUGCCAGGACCAAGCUCACUAGGGCCUCUGGUAUCCUCUCCUGCGUGGUGGUUUUCUGCCCUUGGGGGAUACAUGGUCCUUCAGCUGUCACUCUGCACCUACCCGCUGUGCCUUCUGAGCUGGGAGAGGAGGCUAGGCAGUAUUGGUUAUGGCCCCUUGGGGCUCCUGGGGUCUAUCAGGGCAAGACAGAAAAUUCAUUAACGUUUCAGUGGCUUAGACCAAUAAGGUUAUAAAGUUUAUCUCUUGCACCGGUAGGGGUGACUCUGGUCAGGCAGCUGAUACAGCGAUUCAGGGACUCAGGCCCCCACUGUGUCAUGACUCUGCUGACUUCAGUGACCCACGGACACUUAGGGGUCAUUUCCUCUUCAGCCAGAAUGGAAAGCAGCCAGGGUGACUCCCCCAUGGGAGGUCUAUUUGGGCUUGCAAGGAGCAUACAAGGAAAUUCAUCGCUUAUGUCCACAUUCCAUGCGGUCAGGACUCAUGGCCACAUUUCACCACCGGGGCAGCUGGGAAAGGCCAUUCUGCUAAAGGCCCAGGAGGAGACAUGCUUUUUGGUGAGCAUGCAGUGCUCUGCCCUGAGGCCUGUCUUGGCCACGUGGUGGCCAUCUAUAUCCGUGGAAUCCUGACAUCUCUCCCUGCUGCUGCCUGGGGCACCUUUCCUUGCUGAAGGCCCUACAGCUUCUGCAGGAUCAGGGUCCUGGGAGGUGCAGGCUGGGUUCCUGCCCUCACUGAUGUGCAGGUGACCACAGAUGAGGCCUUGCACCUCUUGUGGUUCUAAUACCUGUUGAGCCCCCCUGCCUCCCUGAGUGGUCAGAGGAGCAAGUAAAGGCACGCAGAGAAUAUAAAGUGCUGAAGGGAGGAGGAGGCAGAAGGAAAGGGAGGCUCUUCACAGCAGGGCACGCCCUGCAAAAGGCUGUGGAUGCUCAACCUGAGGAUACUUAGGUACCCAGCACGCACGGUUCAUCAGGCCCUGCUGUCCGUGGCCAGGCUGUCCACCUUGACCCUUCGUCUGAUCACUUCCUCCCAGGGGAUCUUAACAAACAAGUAGCAUUUGAUCCAGCACUGUUCUCCUCCAGUUAAAAAUAAGGCUCAUAAAUUGAGGCCAUGCCCUAGGGGACAGCAAUGUUAUAAGCUCAUCACCUGAUGAUGUUCAAACCUAGUUAUAAAAAUACACAGCACUUCUGCACUGGGGAGCGAAUGACCUACUUUGUACCUCAUGGACUGGUAUUAAAUUGGCAGGGGGC
Molecule: long non-coding RNA, 1682 nt
Organism: Bos taurus (domestic cattle)
Lineage: Eukaryota; Metazoa; Chordata; Mammalia; Artiodactyla; Bovidae
Source: Ensembl